Molecule: ribosomal RNA, 253 nt
Filed under: uncultured bacterium
Lineage: Bacteria
Description: partial 16S ribosomal RNA
Rfam family: Bacterial small subunit ribosomal RNA
Source: RNAcentral
UACGUAGGCAGCAAGCGUUGUUCGGAGUUACUGGGCGUAAAGGGUGCGUAGGUGGCUCUAUAAGUAUGGUGUGAAAUCUCCCGGCUUAACUGGGAGGGUGCGCCGUAGACUGUGGGGCUAGAGUGUGGGAGAGGAAAGUGGAAUUCCUGGUGUAGCGGUGAAAUGCGUAGAUACCAGGAGGAACACCGGUGGUGUAAACGGCUUUCUGGACCAUAACUGACACUGAGGCACGAAAGCGUGGGUAGCAAACAGG